GGCGCCUUAGCUCAGUUGGUUAGAGCAGCGGAAUCAUAAUCCGCGUGUCCCGUGUUCGAGUCACGGAGGCGCCACCA
Molecule: transfer RNA, 77 nt
Filed under: Pseudomonadaceae bacterium
Lineage: Bacteria; Pseudomonadati; Pseudomonadota; Gammaproteobacteria; Pseudomonadales; Pseudomonadaceae
Description: tRNA-Met
Rfam family: tRNA
About the family: Transfer RNA (tRNA) molecules are approximately 80 nucleotides in length. Their secondary structure includes four short double-helical elements and three loops (D, anti-codon, and T loops).
Source: RNAcentral